Molecule: ribosomal RNA, 394 nt
Filed under: Paradevosia sp.
Lineage: Bacteria; Pseudomonadati; Pseudomonadota; Alphaproteobacteria; Hyphomicrobiales; Devosiaceae
Description: bacterial SSU rRNA
Rfam family: Bacterial small subunit ribosomal RNA
Source: RNAcentral
AACGAACGCUGGCGGCAGGCUUAACACAUGCAAGUCGAACGCCCCGCAAGGGGAGUGGCAGACGGGUGAGUAACGCGUGGGAAUCUACCCAGUUCUACGGAAUAACAGAGGGAAACUUCUGCUAAUACCGUAUACGCCCUACGGGGGAAAGAUUUAUCGGAAUUGGAUGAGCCCGCGUAAGAUUAGCUAGUUGGUGAGGUAAUGGCUCACCAAGGCGACGAUCUUUAGCUGGUCUGAGAGGAUGAUCAGCCACACUGGGACUGAGACACGGCCCAGACUCCUACGGGAGGCAGCAGUGGGGAAUAUUGGACAAUGGGCGCAAGCCUGAUCCAGCCAUGCCGCGUGAGUGAUGAAGGCCUUAGGGUUGUAAAGCUCUUUCAGUGGGGAAGAUAAU